UGGAAAAGUGUAAGGACUGUAGUGGUGAGAUGUGUGUUCCAGACUCUCUGGAUUCAAAUCCCAGCUCUGCUACUUAUGACAGAUAUAGGAAAUAUUAAUAUUUAUACCACCCAUGGGAUACUGGGGUGUGGCUGCUUCUAGCAGGAGGUCAUCAGCCAGCCUCCCAGGAGGUUCAGCUCCCAGGCUCCGUCCAGCUGCCCAGUGGCUGCGGCUCAGCAUCUCCAUUGCCUGUAACCCACUCACGGCACACCAGCACCCAUGGCACACAGCACCCGGGCACGGCUCACGGCACACAGCACCCGGGCACCGCUCACGGCACACAGCACCUGGGCAAGGCGGCUGGAAGGCGCUGACGUCUGCUGCAGACCCCCGGACACAGAGCUCCACUUCUUCUUAUUCUCUGUUAAUUGA
Molecule: long non-coding RNA, 411 nt
Filed under: Pongo abelii (Sumatran orangutan)
Lineage: Eukaryota; Metazoa; Chordata; Mammalia; Primates; Hominidae
Description: lincRNA
Source: RNAcentral